This 253-nucleotide ribosomal RNA is filed under the name uncultured bacterium. RNAcentral's name for it is "partial 16S ribosomal RNA". It matches the Rfam family "Bacterial small subunit ribosomal RNA", at positions 524 to 776 of the family's 1533-position model. The record is from RNAcentral.
UACGAAGGGGGCUAGCGUUGCUCGGAAUCACUGGGCGUAAAGCGCACGUAGGCGGCUUUCUAAGUCAGGGGUGAAAUCCUGGAGCUCAACUCCAGAACUGCCUUUGAUACUGGCGAUCUUGAGUUCGGGAGAGGUGAGUGGAACUGCGAGUGUAGAGGUGAAAUUCGUAGAUAUUCGCAAGAACACCAGUGGCGAAGGCGGCUCACUGGCCCGAUACUGACGCUGAGGUGCGAAAGCGUGGGGAGCAAACAGG